AAAUUGAAGAGUUUGAUCAUGGCUCAGAUUGAACGCUGGCGGCAGGCCUAACACAUGCAAGUCGAGCGGAAACGAGUUAUCAGAACCUUCGGGGAACGAUAACGGCGUCGAGCGGCGGACGGGUGAGUAAUGCCUAGGAAAUUGCCCUGAUGUGGGGGAUAACCAUUGGAAA
This 172-nucleotide ribosomal RNA is filed under the name Vibrio parahaemolyticus. Its description in RNAcentral is "partial 16S ribosomal RNA". It matches the Rfam family "Bacterial small subunit ribosomal RNA", at positions 1 to 156 of the family's 1533-position model. The record is from RNAcentral. Lineage: Bacteria; Pseudomonadati; Pseudomonadota; Gammaproteobacteria; Vibrionales; Vibrionaceae.